This 497-nucleotide ribosomal RNA is filed under the name uncultured bacterium. RNAcentral describes it as "partial 16S ribosomal RNA". It matches the Rfam family "Bacterial small subunit ribosomal RNA", at positions 28 to 507 of the family's 1533-position model. The record is from RNAcentral.
GAUGAACGCUGGCGGCGUGCCUAAUACAUGCAAGUCGAGCGAACAGACGAGGAGCUUGCUCCUCUGACGUUAGCGGCGGACGGGUGAGUAACACGUGGAUAACAUACCUAUAAGACUGGGAUAACUUCGGGAAACAGGGGCUAAUACCGGAUAAUAUAUUGAACCGCGUGGUUCAAUAGUGAAAGACGGUUUUGCUGUCACUUAUAGAUGGAUCCGCGCCGCAUUAGCUAGUUGGUGAGGUAACGGCUUACCAAGGCAACGAUGCGUAGCCGACCUGAGAGGGUGAUCGGCCACACGGGAACUGAGACACGGUCCAGACUCCUACGGGAGGCAGCAGUAGGGAAUCUUCCGCAAUGGGCGAAAGCCUGACGGAGCAACGCCGCGUGAGUGAUGAAGGUCUUCGGAUCGUAAAACUCUGUUAUUAGGGAAGAACAAAUGUGUAAGUAACUAUGCACGUCUUGACGGUACCUAAUCAGAAAGCCACGGCUAACUACGUG